Molecule: ribosomal RNA, 506 nt
Filed under: uncultured eukaryote
Lineage: Eukaryota
Description: bacterial SSU rRNA
Rfam family: Eukaryotic small subunit ribosomal RNA
Source: RNAcentral
AACUUUCAGGCUUGGUUGAWWGGUCCGCCUCACGGUGUGWACUGUUCGACCGAGCCUUACCUACUAGGUGAGCCAGCAUGCCGUUUAUUCGGUGUGUUGGGGAACCAGGAUUUUUACUUUGAAAAAAUUAGAGUGUUCAAAGCAGGCCUAUGCCCGAAUACAUUAGCAUGGAAUAAUAGAAUAGGACGUGCGGUUCUAUUUWGUUGGUUUCUAGGAUUGCCGUAAUGAUUAAUAGUGAUAGUUGGGGGCAUUAGUAUUCAGUUGCUAGAGGUGAAAUUCUUGGAUUUACUGAAGACUAACUACUGCGAAAGCAUUUGCCAAGGAUGUUUUCAUUAAUCAAGAACGAAGGUUAGGGGAUCGAAAACGAUCAGAUACCGUCGUAGUCUUAACUAUAAACUAUACCGACUCGGGAUCGGCUGGAAUAAAUGUCCAGUCGGCACCGUAUGAGAAAUACAAAGUCUUUGGGUUCUGGGGGAAGUAUGGUACGCAAGUCUGAAACUUAAAGG